UACAGAGGUCUCAAGCGUUGUUCGGAUUCAUUGGGCGUAAAGGGUGCGUAGGCGGCGCGGUAAGUCGGGUGUGAAAUCUCGGAGCUUAACUCCGAAACUGCAUUCGAUACUGCCGUGCUUGAGGACUGGAGAGGAGACUGGAAUUUACGGUGUAGCGGUGAAAUGCGUAGAUAUCGUAAGGAAGACCAGUGGCGAAGGCGGGUCUCUGGGACGGUACUGACGCUGAGACGCGAAAGCGUGGGGAGCAAACAGG
RNAcentral lists this ribosomal RNA (253 nucleotides) under uncultured bacterium. Its description in RNAcentral is "partial 16S ribosomal RNA". It matches the Rfam family "Bacterial small subunit ribosomal RNA", at positions 524 to 776 of the family's 1533-position model. The record is from RNAcentral.